GAUCACCUUCACCGUAUGACUCUAGACAAUCCCUGUCCACUCUUCAGUUUUAGAUGCCCCAUUCAAAGAAUGAAAGAAUUGUCCUAGAUGAUCCUUUAGGGUCUUCCAGGCUGAUGACAAGGGGGACCUGGCCCCUCUGCUGCUGGCCAAAGAGGACUUUACUUCCCAUUCCGUGUGGUUGAACAAGAAUUGCUGGGCUCCAGUCCUGCCUUUGGCCCUUCCCUACAUGUGACCUUGGGCCCUCUUUGCCUUUCAGAAUCAAUACAGUGAGAGAGUUAACACAAGCUCAGAUGCCGUUCCAUUGUUUGCUGACUUUCAUUGAUUCUAUGAGAAGUCUGCAGUCUUUUGCAGCGUUGUUUUCCUAUGUAUAAUUGUCUCCUCCCACCCCACUCACCCCAGCUGCUUUCCACAUUCUCUCUCUUUGAUUUUCAGCAGUCUGCCCAUGAUGUGCCUAAAUAGGACUUUCUUUGCAUUCAUCUUGGCUGGGGCUCACUGAACUUUCUGAAUCUGUAGAUUAAUUUUCUUUUUUCAAUAAACCUUGGAAUAUUUUCAGCAUAA
Long non-coding RNA from Homo sapiens (human), 558 nucleotides. Ensembl annotates it as long intergenic non-protein coding RNA 963. The record is from Ensembl. NCBI's taxonomy places the organism in Eukaryota, Metazoa, Chordata, Mammalia, Primates, Hominidae.